GACGAACCGUGCGAACGUUAUUCGGAAUCACUGGGCUUAAAGCGCGUGUAGGCGGAUCGGCGCGUCGCCCGCUCAAAUCCCCCGGCUCAACCGGGGAACUGGCGGCGAUACGGCCAAUCUGGAGGGGCGUAGGGGGACCGGGAACUUCCGGUGGAGCGGUGAAAUGCGUUGAGAUCGGAAGGAACGCCCGUGGCGAAAGCGCGGUCCUGGACGCCUACUGACGCUGAGACGCGAAAGCCAGGGGAGCAAACGGG
Molecule: ribosomal RNA, 254 nt
Filed under: uncultured Singulisphaera sp.
Lineage: Bacteria; Pseudomonadati; Planctomycetota; Planctomycetia; Isosphaerales; Isosphaeraceae
Description: partial 16S ribosomal RNA
Rfam family: Bacterial small subunit ribosomal RNA
Source: RNAcentral